GGGUGUAUAGCUCAGUGGUUAGAGCACCCGCAUACGUAUCGGAAGGUCGGGGGUUCGACUCCCUCUGCCUCCA
This 73-nucleotide transfer RNA is filed under the name Pristionchus pacificus. It matches the Rfam family "tRNA". Rfam says of the family: Transfer RNA (tRNA) molecules are approximately 80 nucleotides in length. Lineage: Eukaryota; Metazoa; Nematoda; Chromadorea; Rhabditida; Neodiplogasteridae. The record is from Rfam by way of RNAcentral.